GGCUGGUCUGAAUGUAAGUUAUCUCAACUGAUUUUCACACUAUCAGUCACAGAUGAAACUCCUUGUUCUACUUGUUUUCCCCUUCUCACUAUUGCACUUGACUAGUCUAAA
Unclassified non-coding RNA from Aotus nancymaae (Ma's night monkey), 111 nucleotides. It matches the Rfam family "Y RNA". From Rfam's summary of the family: Y RNAs are components of the Ro ribonucleoprotein particle (Ro RNP), in association with Ro60 and La proteins. The Y RNAs and Ro60 and La proteins are well conserved, but the function of the Ro RNP is not known. NCBI's taxonomy places the organism in Eukaryota, Metazoa, Chordata, Mammalia, Primates, Aotidae. The record is from Ensembl.